Molecule: ribosomal RNA, 468 nt
Filed under: uncultured bacterium
Lineage: Bacteria
Description: partial 16S ribosomal RNA
Rfam family: Bacterial small subunit ribosomal RNA
Source: RNAcentral
GACGAACGCUGGCGGCGUGCUUAACACAUGCAAGUCGAACGGUGAUGCUCCAGCUUGCUGGAGUGGAUCAGUGGCGAACGGGUGAGUAACACGUGAGCAACCUGCCCCAGACUCUGGAAUAAGCGCUGGAAACGGCGUCUAAUACUGGAUACGAAACUGGCCCGCAUGGGCAUGGUUUGGAAAGUUUUUCGGUUUGGGAUGGGCUCGCGGCCUAUCAGCUUGUUGGUGAGGUAAUGGCUCACCAAGGCGACGACGGGUAGCCGUCCUGAGAGGGCGACCGGCCACACUGGGACUGAGACACGGCCCAGACUCCUACGGGAGGCAGCAGUGGGGAAUAUUGCACAAUGGGCGAAAGCCUGAUGCAGCGACGCCGCGUGAGGGAUGACGGCCUUCGGGUUGUAAACCUCUUUCAGCAGGGAAGAAGCGAAAGUGACGGUACCUGCAGAAGAAGCACCGGCUAACUACGUG